This 230-nucleotide ribosomal RNA is filed under the name uncultured Alicycliphilus sp. RNAcentral's name for it is "partial 16S ribosomal RNA". It matches the Rfam family "Bacterial small subunit ribosomal RNA", at positions 551 to 774 of the family's 1533-position model. Lineage: Bacteria; Pseudomonadati; Pseudomonadota; Betaproteobacteria; Burkholderiales; Comamonadaceae. The record is from RNAcentral.
AGAUGCUCACUGGGUUUAAAGCGUGCGCAGGCGGUUUUGUAAGACAGAGGUGAAAUCCCCGGGCUCAACCUGGGAACUGCCUUUGUGACUGCAAGGCUGGAGUGCGGCAGAGGGGGAUGGAAUUCCGCGUGUAGCAGUGAAAUGCGUAGAUAUGCGGAGGAACACCGAUGGCGAAGGCAAUCCCCUGGGCCUGCACUGACGCUCAUGCACGAAAGCGUGGGGAGCAAACA